AGGAAGGAAGGAAGGAAGGAAGGAAGGAAGUUACACAAAUGAACUAUGCUGUAAAGAAGAAAAUGAUGUAUUGUGAAUGCUAAAAAGGUAAACUUGGUCCUGACUGAACCUGAAGUUAUCCCAAUUCAGAUUCAAGGAAUGCUUAUUUUCUAUAUAAGAUCAUAUCUUACGUGCCAGGAAAUUAAAGAGAAAUGUCAAGCUAGAAUGACAUAGUCUUUGCAGAAGCUGAA
Molecule: long non-coding RNA, 230 nt
Filed under: Anser brachyrhynchus (Pink-footed goose)
Lineage: Eukaryota; Metazoa; Chordata; Aves; Anseriformes; Anatidae
Description: lncRNA (ENSABRG00000004498.1)
Source: RNAcentral